Molecule: ribosomal RNA, 731 nt
Filed under: uncultured soil archaeon
Lineage: Archaea
Description: bacterial SSU rRNA
Rfam family: Archaeal small subunit ribosomal RNA
Source: RNAcentral
ACAAUGCGCCAUAGUCCAUCCGUCCUGGAACGGUGGGUGGAUGAAAGCUCCGGCGGCCUAGGAUAGCUCUGCGGCCUAUCAGGUUGUAGCGAGGGUAACGUCCUCGCUAGCCUACGACGGGUAUGGGUGUUGGGAGACAUCGCCCAGAGAUGGAUUCUGAGACACGAAUCCAGGCCCUACGGGGCGCAGCAGGCGCGAAAACUGCACAAUGUGGGAAACCACGAUGCGGGAAGCCCAAGUGCCAGCACUAAGUGCUGGCUGUCCUCAACUGUUCGUAAGUUGGGAAGAAAGUGCUGGGUAAGACGGGUGCCAGCCGCCGCGGUAAUACCCGCAGCACAAGUGGUGGUCAUUAUUAUUGGGCCUAAAGCGUCCGUAGCUGGCUUGUUAGAUGCCUGGGUAAAUCGAUGCGCUCAACGUAUCGAAUUCCGGGUAGACCGGCAAGCUCGAGACCGGGAGAGGUGUAGGCUACUCGAGGGGUAGGGGUAAAAUCCUGUAAUCCUUCGGGGAGGACCAGUGGCGAAGGCGCUACACUAGAACGGCUCUGACAGUGAGGGACGAAGCCCUGGGGCGCAAACCGGAUUAGAUACCCGGGUAGUCCAGGGUGCAAACGCUGCGGUCUUGGUGUCGCUAGUCCUACGAGGGCAGGCGGUGCCGGAGAGAAGUUGUUAAGGCCGCUGCCUGGGGAGUACGGCCGCAAGGUUGAAACUUAAAGGAAUUGGCGGGGGAGCACA